CGCCAAGAUGCCCAACCAACAUCACUGAUAUCAUCUGAAUAGAGUACUGGAAUAAGCUCACCCCUAUGAGAGGACCUGCCAGCCAUACUUGUUUCUUUGCUUCUUCCCAUAUUAUUUUCUUUCUUCUAACUUCAUUAAUUCCAUUGCUGUUCACUGCUUCGUUUUCAGGCGGUAUCUGAAUCAAAGCUGAAGUUAAAGACUUCUUGUCUUCUUCUCUCUCCAUCUUCUUUUGAAGCACACUAAAGAAGAUGAUGGGGUUGUUGAGGUUUUGAUUUUCCAUUUAAAAUAAGCAAGUGUUUUAUUUUUUAUUAUAGUUAUAGAUAUAUGUGGUGGAGCUCUUAACCAAUUAAUGUUUGCUUUCAGCUGGGCCUGGGAUUGAAGGUGUUACCAGUAAUUUCAGGAUUUGUAUGCUCCAACCUUCCUUCCAUGGAUAAGUAAUUUACUCGAGCUCAACAAGUUACGUUGUUAAUUAAAAUCUCCAGGGUUUGGUGGGAUUGGGUUUUUAUUAAUUAAAAGUUUUCCUUAAAAUUAUUAUUCUACGGUUUUCUUUGUUUUCUU
RNAcentral lists this long non-coding RNA (558 nucleotides) under Gossypium barbadense (sea-island cotton). RNAcentral's name for it is "long non-coding RNA (GBAR_LNC009818)". Lineage: Eukaryota; Viridiplantae; Streptophyta; Magnoliopsida; Malvales; Malvaceae. The record is from RNAcentral.